UGGUAUAUGACCACAUGGUAGCAACAUGAAUAUUCAUAUGCUCCCGGGAGUUGAGAUUGAUAAUAUCGAUGUGCCGUUGAGGAUUGACAUCCAACGAUCGAGGG
Long non-coding RNA from Haliotis rubra (blacklip abalone), 104 nucleotides. RefSeq lists it as uncharacterized. NCBI's taxonomy places the organism in Eukaryota, Metazoa, Mollusca, Gastropoda, Lepetellida, Haliotidae. The record is from RefSeq and is a predicted model, not a curated record. The transcript has 2 exons.